GAUGAACGCUGGCGGCGUGCCUAAUACAUGCAAGUCGAGCGAACGGACGAGAAGCUUGCUUCUCUGAUGUUGGCGGCGGACGGGUGAGUAACACGUGGAUAACCUACCUAUAAGACUGGGAUAACUUCGGGAAACCGGAGCUAAUACCGGAUAAUAUUUUGAACCGCAUGGUUCAAAAGUGAAAGACGGUCUUGCUGUCACUUAUAGAUGGAUCCGCGCUGCAUUAGCUAGUUGGUAAGGUAACGGCUUACCAAGGCAACGAUGCAUAGCCGACCUGAGAGGGUGAUAGGCCACACUGGAACUGAGACACGGUCCAGACGCCUAAGGGAGGCAGCAGUAGGGAAUCUUACGCAACGGGCGAAAGCAUGACGGAGCAACGCCGCGUGAGUGAUGAAGGUCUUCGGAUCGUAAAACUCUGUUAUUAGGGAAGAACAUAUGUGUAAGUAAAUGUGCACAUAUUGACGGUACCUAAUCAGAAAGCAACGGCUAACUACGUG
This 497-nucleotide ribosomal RNA is filed under the name uncultured bacterium. RNAcentral describes it as "partial 16S ribosomal RNA". It matches the Rfam family "Bacterial small subunit ribosomal RNA", at positions 28 to 507 of the family's 1533-position model. The record is from RNAcentral.